This 460-nucleotide ribosomal RNA is filed under the name uncultured bacterium. RNAcentral describes it as "partial 16S ribosomal RNA". It matches the Rfam family "Bacterial small subunit ribosomal RNA", at positions 338 to 795 of the family's 1533-position model. The record is from RNAcentral.
CCUACGGGAGGCUGCAGUGAGGAAUAUUGGUCAAUGGACGCAAGUCUGAACCAGCCAUGCCGCGUGCAGGAAGAAGGUGCUAUGCAUUGUAAACUUCUUUUAUACGGGGGUAAUUACAUCUACGUGUAUCUGUAUGAAAGUACCGUAUGAAUAAGGAUCGGCUAACUCCGUGCCAGCAGCCGCGGUAAUACGGAGGAUCCGAGCGUUAUCCGGAUUUAUUGGGUUUAAAGGGUGCGUAGGCUGUCAGGUAAGUUAGCGGUGAAAGCUCGAUGCUCAACAUUGAAACUGCCUUUGAUACUGGCAGACUAGAGUGUAGUUGCGGAAGGCGGAAUGCGUGGUGUAGCGGUGAAAUGCUUAGAUAUCACACAGAACACCGAUUGCGAAGGCAGCUUUCUAAGCUAUUACUGACGCUGAGGCACGAAAGCGUGGGGAGCGAACAGGAUUAGAUACCCCAGUAGUC